UGAUAUUUUUGCUGUAGAAAAGCCUGCAAAAAGCAAACAAUAUGUUUGCAUGUCCCCUGAUGAUAUCAUCGAUAAACAACAGGACUCUAUGAGUGCGAUCAACAAUGUAUUGCCCCAUCUACCUGUAUCCUCAGUGCGCGUACUGCUGCAAA
This 152-nucleotide non-coding RNA is filed under the name Vannella robusta. The record is from RNAcentral. Lineage: Eukaryota; Discosea; Flabellinia; Vannellidae.